AAAAAAUUAGUUAAAUUAUAACAUUAGUUUGUCAUACUAAAAUUAUUAAAAAAUUAAUAUUUUUUA
Molecule: transfer RNA, 66 nt
Filed under: Ochthebius magnannulatus
Lineage: Eukaryota; Metazoa; Arthropoda; Insecta; Coleoptera; Hydraenidae
Also listed under: 2 other names
Description: tRNA-Asp
Source: RNAcentral